Molecule: ribosomal RNA, 447 nt
Filed under: uncultured bacterium
Lineage: Bacteria
Description: bacterial SSU rRNA
Rfam family: Bacterial small subunit ribosomal RNA
Source: RNAcentral
UCCAGACUCCUACGGGAGGCAGCAGUGGGGGAUAUUGCACAAUGGGGGAAACCCUGAUGCAGCGACGCCGCGUGAAGGAAGAAGUAUCUCGGUAUGUAAACUUCUAUCAGCAGGGAAGAAAAUGACGGUACCUGAGUAAGAAGCCCCGGCUAACUACGUGCCAGCAGCCGCGGUAAUACGUAGGGGGCAAGCGUUAUCCGGAUUUACUGGGUGUAAAGGGAGCGUAGACGGCGAUGCAAGUCUGAAGUGAAAGCCCGGGGCUCAACCCCGGGACUGCUUUGGAAACUGUAUGGCUGGAGUGCUGGAGAGGCAAGCGGAAUUCCUAGUGUAGCGGUGAAAUGCGUAGAUAUUAGGAAGAACACCAGUGGCGAAGGCGGCUUGCUGGACAGUAACUGACGUUGAGGCUCGAAAGCGUGGGGAGCAAACAGGAUUAGAUACCCGAGUAAC